RNAcentral lists this ribosomal RNA (891 nucleotides) under Coleophoma eucalypticola. RNAcentral's name for it is "eukaryotic LSU rRNA". It matches the Rfam family "Eukaryotic large subunit ribosomal RNA", at positions 35 to 943 of the family's 3401-position model. Lineage: Eukaryota; Fungi; Ascomycota; Leotiomycetes; Helotiales; Dermateaceae. The record is from RNAcentral.
UAAGCAUAUCAAUAAGCGGAGGAAAAGAAACCAACAGGGAUUACCUCAGUAACGGCGAGUGAAGCGGUAACAGCUCAAAUUUGAAAUCUGGGCCUUUCAGGCUCCGAGUUGUAAUUUGUAGAAGAUGCUUCGGGUGCGGCUCCGGUCUAAGUUCCUUGGAACAGGACGUCAUAGAGGGUGAGAAUCCCGUAUGUGAUCGGGGGCCUGCGCCCGUGUGAAGCUCUUUCGACGAGUCGAGUUGUUUGGGAAUGCAGCUCAAAAUGGGUGGUAAAUUUCAUCUAAAGCUAAAUAUUGGCCAGAGACCGAUAGCGCACAAGUAGAGUGAUCGAAAGAUGAAAAGCACUUUGGAAAGAGAGUUAAACAGUACGUGAAAUUGUUGAAAGGGAAGCGCUUGCAACCAGACUUGCGCGGGGCCGAUCAUCCGGGGUUCUCCCCGGUGCACUCGACCUCGCUCAGGCCAGCAUCGGUUUCGGUGGCGGGACAAAGGCUGCGGGAAUGUGGCUCCCCUCGGGGAGUGUUAUAGCCCGCGGUGCAAUGCCGCCUACCGGGACCGAGGACCGCGCUUCGGCUAGGAUGCUGGCGUAAUGGUUGUAAGCGACCCGUCUUGAAACACGGACCAAGGAGUCUAACAUCUAUGCGAGUGUUUGGGUGUCAAACCCAUACGCGUAAUGAAAGUGAACGGAGGUGAGAACCCUUAAGGGUGCAUCAUCGACCGAUCCUGAUGUCUUCGGAUGGAUUUGAGUAAGAGCAUAGCUGUUGGGACCCGAAAGAUGGUGAACUAUGCCUGAAUAGGGUGAAGCCAGAGGAAACUCUGGUGGAGGCUCGCAGCGGUUCUGACGUGCAAAUCGAUCGUCAAAUUUGGGUAUAGGGGCGAAAGACUAAUCGAACCAU